This 329-nucleotide unclassified non-coding RNA is filed under the name soil metagenome. RNAcentral describes it as "partial contains 5.8S ribosomal RNA, internal transcribed spacer 2, and large subunit ribosomal RNA". The stretch from base 1 to 119 matches the Rfam family "5.8S ribosomal RNA", at positions 35 to 154 of the family's 154-position model. The record is from RNAcentral.
GAUGAAGAACGUAGCGAAAUGCGAUAAGUAAUGCGAAUUGCAGAAUCCGUGAGUCAUCGAAUCUUUGAACGCACAUUGCGCCCCUUGGUAUUCCGAGGGGCAUGCCUGUUCGAGCGUCAUUUCAACCCUCAAGCACAGCUUGGUCUUGGGCUUCGCCGCUAACCCGGCGGGUCUUAAAAUCAGUGGCGGUGCCGUCGGGCCCUGAGCGCAGUAAUCUCUCUCGCUAUAGGGUCCCGGCGGAUGCUGGCCAGUAACCCCCAAUUUUCUAUGGUUGACCUCGGAUCAGGUAGGGAUACCCGCUGAACUUAAGCAUAUCAAUAAGCGGAGGA